RNAcentral lists this ribosomal RNA (253 nucleotides) under uncultured bacterium. Its description in RNAcentral is "partial 16S ribosomal RNA". It matches the Rfam family "Bacterial small subunit ribosomal RNA", at positions 524 to 776 of the family's 1533-position model. The record is from RNAcentral.
UACGGGGGGGGUAAGCGUUGUUCGGAAUUACUGGGCGUAAAGGGCUCGUAGGCGGCCAACUAAGUCAGACGUGAAAUCCCUCAGCUUAACUGGGGAACUGCGUCUGAUACUGGAUGGCUUGGAUUUGGGAGAGGAAUGCGGAAUUCCAGGUGUAGCGGUGAAAUGCGUAGAUAUCUGGAGGAACACCGGUGGCGAAGGCGGCGUUCUGGACUGCAACUGACACUGAGGAACGAAAGCCAGGGGAGCAAACGGG